Molecule: long non-coding RNA, 4756 nt
Organism: Triticum aestivum (bread wheat)
Lineage: Eukaryota; Viridiplantae; Streptophyta; Magnoliopsida; Poales; Poaceae
Exons: 6
Source: RefSeq, a predicted model, not a curated record
ACACCCCGCAAAAAACCGCUCCUGUCGAUCCCUCGAGGACACAGAGCCGCCGUCCUCUCGUGCGAUCUCGCUGCCGCCGCCCUCCGAUCUGCUCCUCCUCGUCUCCCGAGGAUACGCAUCCGCAUCCGCAUCCGCCGACGCCGAUCCGGGCAGAUGCGGCCGUCGUGGAUCACGAGGACACCGUCACAACCGGCGCCUCGGAUACGUCGCCCGUCAUGGAUCAGGAUCCCCAGGAUGCCGACGCCGCCGCGGAUCCACUGCCACGCGCAGCUCGGGCCCGAGCCGCGACGGGCUCGGCUAUCGCCGCUGCCGCGUGCGCCCUUCGUCUCCAGGCUCGGAGAGCCCCGCCGCCAGCCACCCCCAACCCACAUCGGCGUCAAGCUAUCUCCUUGGUGUUGUUGUCCUCGAUAGGCUAAUGACUCGAGGCAUGCUGCUAGCAGAAUUACAGAAGGCCAUACAGUCAGCGGCAAAGUGCUCGCCGUCGCCAAUGAUUGACUGCUGAGGAUCUCCAUUCGGGGAUUUAGCUACCUGCUCAAAUAAGAUGGUCAAUAGUUGUUCUAUGGAUGAAGAAGGAGAAGACAAGGGAACACAAUAAUUUCUGUGUCAUAUUAUUUGUUUCUGAUGGGGCUACUCUGGAAUACAGUUUAUGGGCGAGAGAUCAGACUUUCAGAUUGGGUGCGGUAUUAUAUCUCGUCAGAUUCAGUAACCAGCGUGGAAUUAAUUUUAAUUUUGUUCCUCAUCAGAUAAGUAGAGACAUGCUUUACCCCAAUCUUCAUUGAUGAAUCUCAACUACAAAAUCCAUGAUAGUUGCGCUGUAUUUUGUUGGGUCCAACAUAAGGCUGAGAGCAGAGUACCUACUUUGUCUUGGUAUAUCAAAAUAAUAAGGAAUCUGUGAGAUUAGAUAAGCCAAAUAGUUGGUACUUGCUGAGUCUACAAAAUUAUCUUAAAUGUUCCAUUUAGUAGUUCACUGAAUAUUAAACUAUGAUGUUUCUUCCAUUGGGGAGUUGUUUUAUGUAGCCCAAACAACAAACAGCCUAUGAACUUCUGAACCAAUUCUUUUUUUAGUAGGACCUUAUGCUCUUUUAACUGAAAAACUGGGAGCACUAGCAGUUCUUCACAAGGUAAUCACCUCCUAUGAAUGUUUGGUGGUGCUGGUCCAAUUUCUAUUGCAUUGCUUCUGAUGUAUGAAUGGACUAUUUUCCUCAUUUGCUAAUUAACGCAACUGGCGUAAUUCUUCAUGAGAAUAGAUAUUUUUGUAGUGCACAGUAUGUUUAUUUUAGUUACCCUCCUUAUGAAUAGAUUUUUUGUAGUGUACAGUACAAUUUUUUUGUCAGGAUUGCAUGUUGCUUGCUACUGCUACUUUUGUACAAUUGUGUUGUUUUGUAAUAUUUCUUAACUGUUAAGAGAUAUUGCCACACUGAGAUUUUGCUACGGGAAUGAAAGUGGAUUGGACAAUGCCGCUAGCUCGGAUGGCGCCCCAUCUGGAUGUCGAUCGGGGGCGAUGUGAGGAGGGCAAGGUAGAGAAAGGGGGUCAGGUUGGCGCCACAGUAGAGGUGAGCGAGGGGGCGGGGUUGCGUCGCUGCUGAGAUGCGCGAGGGGAUCGGAGCUGCGCCAAGCGGAUUCAUCAGAGCACUUCGCUCCCGCUGCCUUUGGACUGAUGCUUAGAUGGAUUGAUGCGUAAGAGUUUGAAUCCUUUCAUUUUUCACUUCUCUAAUGGGUGGCUGAUGGCCUGAUGCUUUGAUGGAUCGAUGCAUGCUAGAACUGGCUGAUAUGUGCGUGCGUGUGCACAUUUUUUAUUUUGAUUUUUGUAGAGAUUGGUUCAUGCUUCUCUUCUUAUGGAUUUCUUCUUUCUUUUGUCUGUGUUUGUCACUCUGUUGCUGAAUGAUUUGGUGAUUUUUUUCUUUGUGGGCUUAUCUGAUGAAAUUUACUGCUAAUUAGAUCGUGCACUGACGCUGCCACCAGAAGAUAGAUCAUAGAUGCAUGUGUUUGCUUUCGAACAUGGUGCGUAAUCUUUAGGUUUGCCAAACGUCACCUCCGGCAAUUUCAGCUCAACAUGUCUUGGUUUCUGCAGAUGAUUUGGUGAUUUUUCUUUUCUUUGUGGGCUUAUCUGAUGAAAUUUACUGCUAAUUAGAUCGUGCACUGACGCUGCCACCAGAAGAUAGAUCAUAGAUGCAUGUGUUUGCUUUCGAACAUGGUGCGUAAUCUUUAGGUUUGCCAAAUGUCACCUCCGGCAAUUUCAGCUCAACAUGUCUUGGUUUCUGCAUUCUGAGUUUAGAGUUCUACAUAGUGGAAUGGUUAGUAUAUGGGAGUUUGCAUCUACAGUUGCAUACUGUAGUUCCAUUCCGUCCUUCCUUAUUCAGAGAUGAACUGAACCUCUCAUUUUUCAUGUACUUUUGUGUGAUUGUGUGAAAGUGAGGUGGAACUGACUAUUCCGGGGGGAAAUCAAAAGAUACCACAUUAGUAUAGUAGAACGUACUACUUGCUCUUAAGAUUUCAGAAAUGACAUGUCAAGGACAGGGUAUAGAGAUCCGAAGAGUAUUCUCCUUCUGUCAUCGGUUGUUAAAUUAGUAACGCCCAGCAUCGUGUGCGAUGGAGCCCUUACCGCUGUUCACAACUGAACUCUUUAUUUUAUUUUAAUCCUUCGGAUUUGUCGGGUCAGGGAUCCUUCAGUUUUGUUGGAUCAGGAAGUAAGAGCACCGGGACUUCAAGGACGAUGUAGAUUGUCGAAGGCAAAGUUGCAGAGUGCAUGGGCAGCAGUACCAGUGCAAGAACCUCGCGCAUGACGGAGCUGCUGUGGUAGAGAAGCAAAACCCAACGACUAACUCUACAAGCUCUGGUCGCUGUCUUAAACAUCACUAACGUAAUCAUAUCUCACUCCAUUAUGCAAAUUUUAUUUCUGAUUUUUUUAUUCUAUUUCAGUACUUGUACCUUUUUACAAUGCGUUUAGUGCAUAUGAAUGAAGUAUAUUGAUUUAUCUUCUACCUAUGGUUUUCUGUGCUUUAUUGGUGCUCAACGUUUUUGACAUGUUGGCAUGCAUAUUACUAAAUUUGGUCAAGCAACCCGCCAACAAAUACAAAGAAGGGCUAUAUGUCUUCUGAUCGUCUUGAUGGCAUAUAUGAGGACCUGCAAUACUGAACCUGGAAGUUAGUCGUUGAGGCAGUGGUCAUGGUAGUGAUAUCUACUGCCAGAACAUAAACGUUUGGCCCUCCUUGUUGCCACGAAGGAUUAUGAUCUACUGGAUUUACAGAACCAGUUAAUGGCAUGAUGCUGGCAGUAGUAAUGGAGGGUUGUGAUUUCUGGAUGGAAUAGGACGGAUUGGCGUCCUCUUCUCACGAAACACACUGACACAAAAUUUCUGGUUUCUGACGUACAAGGAUUAUUUACUAUGAACAAAUAUUGCAAUGUUCAUUCGUAGUACUGUUUGUUGAGGCGAUGCCUCUCCUACAGUCUGUUAUUGUUGUUAUCUUCUUGGGAGUACUUGAGAAGGCGCGAAGAGGAAGGUGGGGACACGCCAUGGCAGAGGCCAGUGCCGAAUCUACGUCUGCUGGCAGAGGCGCGUGGUUGACAGGAGGAGCCGGGGAGGCAUGACGGUGGACAUGUGGAUGUUAUCGUGGCAUUGACACAUUUCGCCCUACCAACACUGCAUACCAACGUGACUGAAUGUUAUCGUGGCUUAGAUGCCCUAUCAAAUUCUUGCUUGACUUUUUGGUUUUGUAUACAUGGUAUUUCUCAUGUGGAGUUGAAACCACAUUUGGUUGGUCCAAUAGUAAAUAAUCAUAUGUUUCACUCUAAAAUCAUAUUGCAUAUAGAGUGACGUUACGUUCUUGUGCAAAUUACUACACACAUAUACAUGGAGUUGCCUGAAAAAGUCUCACACUUGGACUCCUGCAAGUAACACUAUCGCUCGCUUGUAGAGUUUGCAACUGGUGAUAACUGUCAUACUACUGGGUAACAGCCUUACUCGAAUCAGCCUUGACCUUGUAUAAUAUACAUAGUUAUUUGGUGCAUGGUAUUUUUAGUGAAUUUGAUCAAAACUUUGUUAUUUUAAGUACAUUUGUACUUUAGUUGUUUAUUCAAAUAAAUUUGUACAUUUGAGGACACGGUAGGCGCACCAACCGCACUAUAGCCUUGCAGUUUUUCCUAAUUUCUUUAGGUAUGCGAUGUCAAUUUAAUAUUCACAUAUAUGCUGAAAUUUUGACUUCGAAGGACCAUCACUGAAGUUAUAUGCUGAAAUUUUGACUUCGAAAAACCAGCACUGAAGUUAUAUGAAGUUCCUUGCAAGAGCUAUAUCAUUCUUUUGAGUACUACUAAUUAAUUCCCAUGAGUACCAAUGGUGAGAUUUUCAGGCGUAAAUACUUGAUGUGAUUCUCAUUGUUGGCAAUCUUCAUGAACCUAUCAAGGAGAACAUUGCAAUACUAAUUGUUGCACAGGUGUUCUCAACACCGGCUAGCAACAAGAGAGAAUGAUUGUUCAAUGCUCACUGUUGUAAGCUUGAUCCAAGAGGAGCUUCUCAAUGUUGUACAUGUAGGCUGUGAGUAACCGAAAUAAUACCUAUUUGUUCACUCUUUUCCUAUACCUAUGAUUCCUCUACCACUGUUCAGUAGAGUUCAGUUAUGUGCUUCAAUAUGAGGAAGUCAUCAUCUUUUAAAACAUACCGUUGCCUACUCAAACAUAUUUUGUUCCUUUUUGUUUCCAACAGAUUAUGUAUAAAAACACGUGUACAAUAAGCGGCAGAACCUGCAUUGGACCGUCCUCA